This 428-nucleotide ribosomal RNA is filed under the name uncultured bacterium. RNAcentral describes it as "bacterial SSU rRNA". It matches the Rfam family "Bacterial small subunit ribosomal RNA", at positions 30 to 504 of the family's 1533-position model. The record is from RNAcentral.
CGAACGCUGGCGGCAGGCCUAACACAUGCAAGUCGAGCGCACUCUUCGGAGUGAGCGGCGGACGGGUUAGUAACGCGUGGGAACAUACCCUUUUCUACGGAAUAGCCUCGGGAAACUGAGAGUAAUACCGUAUACGCCCUUCGGGGGAAAGAUUUAUCGGAGAAGGAUUGGACCGCGUUAGAUUAGAUAGUUGGUGGGGUAAUGGCCUACCAAGUCUACGAUCUAUAGCUGGUUUGAGAGGAUGAUCAGCAACACUGGGACUGAGACACGGCCCAGACUCCUACGGGAGGCAGCAGUGGGGAAUCUUAGACAAUGGGCGCAAGCCUGAUCUAGCCAUGCCGCGUGAGUGACGAAGGCCUUAGGGUCGUAAAGCUCUUUCGCCAGAGAUGAUAAUGACAGUAUCUGGUAAAGAAACCCCGGCUAACUCC